This 172-nucleotide ribosomal RNA is filed under the name uncultured bacterium. RNAcentral describes it as "partial 16S ribosomal RNA". It matches the Rfam family "Bacterial small subunit ribosomal RNA", at positions 335 to 524 of the family's 1533-position model. The record is from RNAcentral.
ACUCCUACGGGAGGCAGCAGUGGGGAAUAUUGCACAAUGGAAAAAACUCUGAUGCAGCGACGCCGCGUGAAUGAUGAAGGCCUUCGGGUUAUAAAAUUCUAUCCUUAAAGAAGAUAAUGACGGUACCCAAGAAGGAAGCCCCGGCUAACUACGUGCCAGCAGCCGCGGUAAU